GACGAACGCUGGCGGCGUGCCUAAUACAUGCAAGUCGAGCGGACGGAUGGGAGCUUGCUCCCAGCCCGUCAGCGGCGGACGGGUGAGUAACACGUGGGCAACCUGCCUGUAAGACUGGGAUAACUCCGGGAAACCGGGGCUAAUACCGGAUAACUCUUUCCCUCACAUGAGGGAAAGCUGAAAGAUGGCAUCUCGCUAUCACUUACAGAUGGGCCCGCGGCGCAUUAGCUAGUUGGUGAGGUAACGGCUCACCAAGGCGACGAUGCGUAGCCGACCUGAGAGGGUGAUCGGCCACACUGGGACGGAGACACGGCCCAGACUCCUACGGGAGGCAGCAGUAGGGAAUCUUCCGCAAUGGACGAAAGUCUGACGGAGCAACGCCGCGUGAGUGAUGAAGGUGUUCGGAUCGUAAAACUCUGUUGUCAGGGAAGAACAAGUACCGGAGUAACUGCCGGUACCUUGACGGUACCUGACCAGAAAGCCACGGCUAACUACGUG
RNAcentral lists this ribosomal RNA (498 nucleotides) under uncultured bacterium. Its description in RNAcentral is "partial 16S ribosomal RNA". It matches the Rfam family "Bacterial small subunit ribosomal RNA", at positions 28 to 507 of the family's 1533-position model. The record is from RNAcentral.